ACGGGAGUUCCCCUCAGGCACUGCGCGGAGCGGCGGCGUCGGACGGGGCCCCGGGGCGGGGGUCGGCGGUCGGAAGGCGCUGAAAGCAGCGGUGGCUGGGGCGGCGCGCAGCUCCAGCGCCGGAAUUCCGCAGCACGGCCCCAGGAACGGGGCCUUGGCCCCGCAGCCACGCUUGGAGCGCACCCGCGGUGAUUUAACUUUCUCAUGAUGGCCCCAGCGGAAUGUGGGUCUGCCCGCACAGCGCUGUCAGAGGCAGGUUCCUUGCCAGAGCGUACACUUCAGAAUCCCAGUUCUGAGCACGUCGUGCUUGCACACCCCACACGAGAAACUUGGAAACCAGCCUACUGAUCUCUGGCAGAGUUGUGCGUCCAGAUAAAGACGGCAAAACGGAGGCAGGAAGGCACAUAAGAGUAUUACUCACUUCCCCAGAGGCGGCUCAGCCACAAGUUGAGCAGCGCCUGCUGCCCUGAGCCUGGCCGAAUACUUCCAGCAUAUCUCCAGUACUUCAAAAACACUUGAACCUGAGCAGUGGAGCAAGCACAGACAAUUCCAGUGUUAGUUCAGGUGUCAACAAAUGCUCACGUGCUGGUGUAUAAGUAUGUGAAACAUACAACUGGUAUUUGGUGAUACAAGGAAAAAACAUCUUUUCAAGUAUUCCAUGCAAUAAGGCUUCAUUAAAAGCUGGAGCACUUCACAGAUUUCUCUGAAAUAGCAACAAAUACAAGGCAGAUGUACACUAUGAAAUAGACCAGCUAGUUUUUAAUGCAAAAAUUUGAUAAAAGUUAUAACCAUUGUAGAACCACACUGAAGCCACAGCUGGACUUCAAUGCCUUCCAUCACACCCGUGGUAAAACCAGUGAUUAAUAAAGACAAGACCAACAAAAUAGCACAGCUAAAGCAGCGAAGAAUAAAUUUAAUUUGACAAAUAGGCUGAGACUAGUUUUUGCUUUGGAGCUACUUGUAUACAGCUAAACAAUCAUAUCCUAAACAACAAACAAAAAUCUAGGAAAUUCAGCAGGAAUCUUCAGUUUCUAUGUUGCCUCACUUUCCAGAGUGUAUACUCAUUGGAAAUUUAGGCUUGUCUGCACAAUUCACUGUACUUGAGCUAUGAAAUGCACCAGCUACAGUCCUAGAGGGAUGGAUCACUCUGGUCAUACAGCAAAUGUCAUCACUUGUAAUAACAAAACAAGCCCCUUGUCCUGUGUCUGCCACAGUAGACUUCUAAAAUUAAUGAGCCACUCCUCAGAUUUCUCAAUAGUGUGCUUUUCAAGCCAUUCCCUGCCCUUAGCUUGGUUGGUAAGGCUGCCAAGUUAUUAAUAAAUCUCUAUAUUAUAAAGACAUUUAAUUUCAGGAAAGGAUUGCUGUCUGCAUUUUAUUCAAUGUAGUACACAGCUGGCUGAUGGCCUAUUUGCCCUGCGAGAUCCUUGGUAAAAUAAAGUUAUUUGGGGAAAUACCUGUUAAAUUAAAA
Molecule: non-coding RNA, 1468 nt
Organism: Cyanistes caeruleus (blue tit)
Lineage: Eukaryota; Metazoa; Chordata; Aves; Passeriformes; Paridae
Source: RefSeq, a predicted model, not a curated record